RNAcentral lists this ribosomal RNA (207 nucleotides) under uncultured bacterium. RNAcentral's name for it is "partial 16S ribosomal RNA". It matches the Rfam family "Bacterial small subunit ribosomal RNA", at positions 568 to 774 of the family's 1533-position model. The record is from RNAcentral.
CGCGUAGGUGGUUCGAUAAGUCGCUGGUGAAAUUCCGGGGCUCAACUCCGGAGCUGCCGGCGAGACUGUCGGACUUGAGCACGGUAGGGGCAGAUGGAAUUCCCGGUGUAGCGGUGGAAUGCGUAGAUAUCGGGAAGAAUACCAGUGGCGAAGGCGUUCUGCUGGGCCGUUGCUGACACUGAGGCGCGACAGCGUGGGGAGCAAACA